UUUAGUCAUGGAUGGUCAAUUCUUUAUUUGAAAAUAAAAUUAUAAAGAAACAUAAACACACUGAACCAGUUACUGUGUGUGUACACAAAUUGUGGUAAUAGCUUGUGUCAUCUAUGUAUAAACAAAUAGCUAGUGUUAACUAUCGUGUUUGCUCUGAAUUUUUGUUAUUCCAUGUUUGAUUUGUAUAACUGGGUUUUUCUUAUUAAAAAGUAUAUUACUUCAAGUUGAUAGAUGUGAUUGUUUUCCCUU
This 249-nucleotide long non-coding RNA is filed under the name Daucus carota (carrot). RNAcentral's name for it is "long non-coding RNA (DCAR_LNC002229)". The record is from RNAcentral. Lineage: Eukaryota; Viridiplantae; Streptophyta; Magnoliopsida; Apiales; Apiaceae.